GCCGGGGUAGCUCAGUGGCAGAGCAGCUGAUUCGUAAUCAGCAGGUCGGGAGUUCAACCCUCCUCCCCGGCU
This 72-nucleotide transfer RNA is filed under the name Thermodesulfovibrionales bacterium. RNAcentral's name for it is "tRNA-Thr". It matches the Rfam family "tRNA". From Rfam's summary of the family: Transfer RNA (tRNA) molecules are approximately 80 nucleotides in length. Their secondary structure includes four short double-helical elements and three loops (D, anti-codon, and T loops). Lineage: Bacteria; Pseudomonadati; Nitrospirota; Thermodesulfovibrionia; Thermodesulfovibrionales. The record is from RNAcentral.